This 338-nucleotide unclassified non-coding RNA is filed under the name soil metagenome. RNAcentral describes it as "partial contains 5.8S ribosomal RNA, internal transcribed spacer 2, and large subunit ribosomal RNA". The stretch from base 1 to 119 matches the Rfam family "5.8S ribosomal RNA", at positions 35 to 154 of the family's 154-position model. The record is from RNAcentral.
GAUGAAGAACGUAGCGAAAUGCGAUACGUAAUGUGAGUUGCAAAUUCAGUGAAUCAUCGAGUCUUUGAACGCACAUUGCGCCCUUUGGCAUUCCGAAGGGCAUGCCUGUUCGAGCGUCAUUUAUCAACCCUCAAGCCCGGCUUGCGGUUGGGUCCCGCCGUGGGCGACCACGGCGGACCCGAAAGGUAAUGGCGGUGCCCGUGGGGCCCUGGACGCAGCGAGCUUCUCGGCACGCGUCCCGGCGGUCCCCGGCGCCGUCUCCACCAAUCCACCACGCAGAUUGACCUCGGAUCAGGUAGGGAUACCCGCUGAACUUAAGCAUAUCAAUAAGCGGAGGA